CGUCUGGACCGAGCCCUUGCCGAAACUCUUGGUGCCGACAACGAUUGCGCGGCGGUGAUCCUGCAACGCACCGGCGACGAUUUCCGACGCCGAGGCCGAACCGCCGUUGAUCAGCACGACCAGCGGCUUGCCCUCAAUCAGAUCGCCCUCGUUUGCGUUGAACCGGCCACUGUCUUGCGGGUCACGGCCACGGGUCGACACGAUUUCACCGGCAUCAAGGAAGGCAUCGGACACCGCAAUCGCUUGGUUCAACAAACCACCCGGGUUGUUGCGC
This 274-nucleotide non-coding RNA is filed under the name marine eukaryotic metagenome. The record is from RNAcentral.